RNAcentral lists this ribosomal RNA (492 nucleotides) under uncultured bacterium. RNAcentral describes it as "partial 16S ribosomal RNA". It matches the Rfam family "Bacterial small subunit ribosomal RNA", at positions 29 to 507 of the family's 1533-position model. The record is from RNAcentral.
AGUGAACGCUGGCGGUGGGCCUAACACAUGCAAGUCGAACGGCAGCACAGUAAGAGCUUGCUCUUACGGGUGGCGAGUGGCGGACGGGUGAGGAAUACAUCGGAAUCUACUUUUUCGUGGGGGAUAACGUAGGGAAACUUACGCUAAUACCGCAUACGACCUACGGGUGAAAGCAGGGGAUCUUCGGACCUUGCGCGAUUGAAUGAGCCGAUGUCGGAUUAGCUAGUUGGCGGGGUAAAGGCCCACCAAGGCGACGAUCCGUAGCUGGUCUGAGAGGAUGAUCGGCCACACUGGAACUGAGCCACGGUCCAGACUCCUACGGGAGGCAGCAGUGGGGAAUAUUGGACAAUGGGCGCAAGCCUGAUCCAGCCAUACCGCGUGGGUGAAGAAGGCCUUCGGGUUGUAAAGCCCUUUUGUUGGGAAAGAAAAGCAGCAGGUUAAUACCCCGCUGUUCUGACGGUACCCAAAGAAUAAGCACCGGCUAACUUCGUG